This is a non-coding RNA of Python bivittatus (Burmese python), 384 nucleotides long. The record is from RefSeq and is a predicted model, not a curated record. Lineage: Eukaryota; Metazoa; Chordata; Lepidosauria; Squamata; Pythonidae.
GCGUCGACCAUUUCUGGCCAGCAACUUUCAGGUUCCUGAAACUACUUUGCUCAGCCGUUCUAACACUGGGACAUUUCUCCGUUGAAAGCUGCCUGACUCUACUAUGUGAGUCCAUGCACCACAGUGUCUGCCUCUGGAGGACUUUUGCAAUCACAUUGAGAAACCAGGAUUGCUUUAUGGUUUUGAUGAUUAGACAGAAUAUACAAAGAAGAGAGUGAGAUAACAUUUAUCUUGCAAAACACUGUGAACUCAACAGUAGUUACCAACUUCCUGCUAAAGAACCAAUUACAGUAUCAGAAAGUUACAAAGGUUGGUCAAUCCUGUAACUGUCUCUAUAGUUACUGCUAACUUCAACGAAGCAAGAUCUCUGUUCUCUUCUAAGCA